GAGGUGGCUUCCGGCCGCCAGGCGAGACUCCGCGGGAAAACUCCCUGCUAGAGAGACUAGGAGAUUUGGGGCUGCGGCCGUUUCCUCCGGAGCACCCACGGGACUGUGUGCUGGGGUCCCUCCACCGGCUGUGUCCUUUAUUCUUCUUUCUCACCCAACGAUUUACCUGAACGGUUAUAAAGUGCACGUUAUUUCCCUAAGCACUUUGAGUAUAUUGGCCCACUGCAUUCUGGACUUCAAAAUUUCUGAUGCGAAAUAUGCUGAUACUUUUGUUGAAGAAAUCUGGUCCUUCUUACUGAUGUGUUGCUCUUCUUCAUGGCUCGUGAAAACUAUUAGAGUCAUCCAAGGACUGUGAAGACAACCAGAGUGGGAAGGAACCUCAGAAACCUUUGGACCAACAGAGGAAAAAGCCCAGAGGUGCAGGACAUAGAUCAAAACCAGUCGCAUGCGAGUCAUUCUAGGAUCCGGCCAAAGUUAAUUAACAGAGGGCCAUUCAGUCUCCACCGAGUCAAACAAUAAUUAGGUUAGUUAGGGUCUUUGAGCCCCAACACAGUCUAGACUCUGAGACACUGCAAUAUAACAAUAUUCUUCUGGUUUCUUCUCCAUUCCAAAUCUAUCUUCCUAAAAUACUAAAUUUUAAGAGUGAAAGUGAACUUGUGAACAUAAACAGGUAAAAUGUGGGUGUGUGUCCAGAAUGGUGACAGACAGGGAGAACUGCUGAAUAUAACUUAUCAGAACCUUACAAACUGGCCUUCCCUCAUGAUCCACCUAGGGUUUCUUUUUACUAGUCAGGUUCCACAGGAAAAUGUGAGAACUUAUACUUAGGGAAGAAAGACAUUACUCAGGUCCCUGCAAGGCUGGAAAAUGGGAAUGAUUCUCCACUUUCCCCUCCAGAUUUAAGCACUACAAAGACUGUCAACAUCUCUUGGCAUUUUGUACAGUACAGAGAGAUAGACACCCUACAUUGUGUAAUGUUUAUAUUUAAUAUCAGUGCUGCUUUCCGUCUCCAUUGAGUUCCCACAUUCAGCUCACUCACAGCGCUCCAAAGGCCUAGGAUAAGUGACCUGUGUGAAGACAUGGGGAGGCGGUUCUGGAGCACCUUCAGGUACUCCUCAGGAACUGAUGUUUUUUCACUUGUUGUUUGCCUAAGGCCAAGUUCUCUUUACCCGAAGGCAUCAUUCAGCCCCCCUUGCUAGGUAAUAAAGCACAAUAUUUUGUAGCGCUGGUCA
This 1229-nucleotide long non-coding RNA is filed under the name Homo sapiens (human). RNAcentral describes it as "ZFHX3 antisense RNA 1, transcript variant 3 (ZFHX3-AS1)". Lineage: Eukaryota; Metazoa; Chordata; Mammalia; Primates; Hominidae. The record is from RNAcentral.